CAAUAGCGUAUAUUAAAGUUGUUGCGGUUAAAAAGCUCGUAGUUGGAUUUCUGCUGAGGACGAUCGGUCCGCCCUCUGGGUGAGUAUCUGGCUCGGCCUUGGCAUCUUCUUGGAGAACGUUACUGCACUUGACUGUGUGGUGCGGUAUCCAGGACUUUUACUUUGAGGAAAUUAGAGUGUUUCAAGCAGGCGCACGCCUUGAAUACAUUAGCAUGGAAUAAUAAGAUAGGACCUUGGUUCUAUUUUGUUGGUUUCUAGAGCUGAGGUAAUGAUUAAUAGGGAUAGUUGGGGGCAUUCGUAUUUAACUGUCAGAGGUGAAAUUCCUGGAUUUGUUAAAGACGGACUACUGCGAAAGCAUUUACCAAGGAUGUUUUCAUUGA
Molecule: ribosomal RNA, 380 nt
Filed under: uncultured eukaryote
Lineage: Eukaryota
Description: partial 18S ribosomal RNA
Rfam family: Eukaryotic small subunit ribosomal RNA
Source: RNAcentral